This is a non-coding RNA of Chlorocebus sabaeus (green monkey), 863 nucleotides long. The record is from RefSeq and is a predicted model, not a curated record. NCBI's taxonomy places the organism in Eukaryota, Metazoa, Chordata, Mammalia, Primates, Cercopithecidae.
AUGCGUGAGUGCAUCUCCAUCACAUUGGCCAGGCUGGUGUCCAGGUUGGCAAUGCCUGUUGGGAGGCCUACUGCUUGGAACAUGGCAUCCAGCCCAAUGGCCAGAUGCCAAGUGACAAGACCACUCGGGGAGGAGAUGACUCCUUCAACAGCUUCUUCAGUGAGACGGGCUCCGGCAAGCACGUGCCCAGGGCAGUGUUUCUAGAUCUGGAACCCAUGGUAAUUGAUGAUGAAGUUUGCACUGGCACCUGCCACCAGCUCUCCCACCCUGAGCAGCUCAUCACAGGCAAGGAAGAUGCUGCCAGUAACUAUGCUAUUGGCCAGGAGAUCACUGACCUCGUUUUGGACCAAAUUUGUAAACUGGCUGACCAGUGCAUGGUUCUCCAGGGCUUCUUGGUUUUCCACAGCUCUGGUGAAGGAAUUGUUUCUGGGUUCACCUCCCUGCUCAUGGAACAACUCCCAGUUGAUGAUGGCAAGAAGUCCAAGCUGGAGUUCUCCAUUAAGUCAGCACCCCAGGUUUCCACAGCUGUAGUUGAGUCCUACAACUCCAUCCUCACCACCCAGUGAGGACAUGACUGCCCUUGAGAAGGAUUAUAAGGAGGUUGGUGUGGAUCCUGUUGAAGGAGAAGGUGAGGAAGAAAGAGAGGAAUACUAAAGUAAAAAUGUCACAAAGGUGCUGCUUUUACAGGGAAGCUUAUUCUGUUUUAAACAUUGAAAAGUUGUGGUCUGAUCAGUUAAUUUGUAUGUAGCAGUGUAUGCUCUAAUAUACAAUUACUGACCUAUGCUUUAAAACAUGACUGAUUUUGCAGACCCAAACUGUCCGUUUCUGUGAUGAGUUUUGAAUAAAGUAUCCCCUGUCUUUAA